Long non-coding RNA from Leucoraja erinaceus (little skate), 6839 nucleotides. RefSeq lists it as uncharacterized. The record is from RefSeq and is a predicted model, not a curated record. NCBI's taxonomy places the organism in Eukaryota, Metazoa, Chordata, Chondrichthyes, Rajiformes, Rajidae. The transcript has 4 exons.
AUCAUUUAAGGCCUGGACAAUGGAGGUCACCAUUGCCAAUUGCAGAGAGGAUUGGAAUAAGACCGUAAGGGUGGUGAUGGCGAGAUAAUAUUGUGGGCCUCUCUCUAGACAUGGAGACGUGGAUCCAGAGUCCUGUGGGGCAGGUGCAGAAAGAAAGGUCAAAGAUAAAGACAUAAGCUGGAGUAACUCAGUGGGACAGGCAGCAUCUCUGGAACGAAGGAACGGGUAACGUUUUGGGUCGAGACCCUUCUUCAGCCUUAAGAAAGGACAGUUCUGUAAUAAAUAAUUACAGGACCGCAGUGCACAUAUUUAUUUUCUUUCUCUGGAAAAAUAAUUCAUGAGAUGUGCCCGUCGCCGAAAAAGACUGGCAUUUAUGUACUUCACAGAUGAGCAGAUUGGAAGAGCUAUCUCCGUGACCCGCUGUAACCCGUGUGGUUGAGAUUCACCGAGUGGCACCAGGAACCAGAGCAUCACUGUCUGACAGAUCAACAGAACUACCCUGAAACACAGUCUGAAGAAGGGACUCGAUCACGUUCUCCAGAAUGCUGCUUGGCCCUCUGAGUUACUCCAGUACCUUGUCUCUUUUUUUAAAAAAUAAACCUGCGCCCGCAGUUCCUUGUUUAUACACAGCACAGUCACAACGGGUGGUGUAUUUAAAGAGAUGAAUUAGUUGAGGCAGCGACUAUCCCAACGUUUAUGAAAAAGGCACAUGGAUAGGGCAGGUUUGGAAGGGUAUGGGCCAGGUGGGACUAGUGUAGAUGGGACAUGUUGGCCGAUGUGGGCAAGUUGGGCCGAAGGGCCUGUUUCCACGCUGUAUCACUAUGACUCUUAUGGCCCGAAACGUCGCCUAUCCAUAUUAUCCAGAAAUGCUGUCGGCCCGCUGAGUUACUCCAGCAUUUUGGGGGGUUUUUGAAUGAGAAUUUCUUGUUCGUCGCAAUAACCGAUAAGUAUAUUAAAAUUCCAAUCUUCUGUGCACCUGGGAAUCAACUAUUGUUUCGCACGUUAUCCAAGUUCCAGACGCUAUCCCGGAGGUCAGUGUGGGCUCUGGGACGCCCGAACCCGAUUUCCCUGAGCCAGUGGCUCUGCCUAGUGGACAUAUCCCGCAUCGUGACUGGCGAGGGAGCGCUCCAGAAAGGGAUGCGAGUGAUCCGUGAACCCUCGAGUCACGCUAGUUGUUCGGUGGCGAACCCGCAACUGAGCGGCUCCCUGCAACAGCAACAACACACACACAAAAAAGCCGCAUUCGCCAAACGUGGCCGAUCGUGGUGGAACCGUGCGAAGUGAAGGACGCAAUUGGAAGUGUGAGUCAGAGGCCUCGAGCCCUCCAUUGAUGGGAUGAUCUUGACUACCGUAGCCAGCGGCGGGCCCUCCACGUCAGGGCGAUCAGCUCCUGCAUCGGGGGAAUGUCAGAUCCCUCGCGCCAGACGAAUAAACCCCGCGUCGGGGCUGGUCGAACCUUCCGCGGCAUUGGAGCUCCUGACAUCCACGGCCUCUCCCGAGACUGCAAGCUCUCGAUGUAGUCUGCAGGCCGUGGUUGGAGCGAUCACUGGUAAGGGAUCAGCUCCGAUGUAAGUUCACGCCCCACGGUGGGGCCCAAGGUCAGUCCGAGGAGGCCUCCAGCUCCAUUGAUGGUAGGCCGCAGAGCGACCAGAGAAUACGAUCUGAAAAUUAACCACAUCUCCGACAAGAUUCUGGGUGCGUUGUUCUGCCAUGCGACGAUUAUUCGGCAGACUAACACUUUCUUGUUUGAAAGAUCCCUAACUGGUCGGAAGCCGCGGUCCCCUGUCAGGAAGCGGCCGUUCCAGGGUUCCCAAGCCGCUGAGAGGACUCUCCCGACGCCGGGGCAACACCACCCGGCCAGAACGGCCAGGAACAUCGGGCCUCCGUAGAGGCAAUAGCGGUGGCCUCAAUAGGCCUGACUUUGAGUGAACUGGGGAUGGGGACUGGACAUUGUGCCUUCCCCCACAGUGGUAACCAUUGUGGGGGGAUGAUUUUGUUGUGUGUAAGUAAACAUGUUAGUCUGUGUCCAAGAUGGCUGUCGGAAGGGAGAGUGGACGCUAGCGCGCUUUAGCUGCCGCUGCUCUCUCUUCACACUGUGUUUUUGAUUUUUUGUCUUUGGAUUGAAUUCUGUUUUUAAUUUGUGUUUUGGUGAUGUCUUUAUUAUUUAUUUUAUUCCGAUUAUAUGUUUUAUUAUUCUUGUUAAUCUCUGUAAGGUGUCCUUGAGACUUUUGAAAGGCACCCACAAAUAAAAUGUAUUAUUAUUAUUAUUAUUAUUGUUCCUUCUCAAGGAGCCAAUAUAUAACCCAUCCUAGUAGGGGUUUCACAGCAAACGGUCCAUCCCGUUGGCUCCUCACAGUCUAUAUAAGUUCCAAUGCCUUCAAAGCAUUCGUUCCGAUACGAGAAUGUAUCUUAGGUAUCUUGACAUCCUUCAAGUAAGGCCAUUGUUUCAAGUCCUCAUGUCUGGGUAUAUUUGGAUGACAAACAGGCAUGGUUUCAUGUGUAAACACCUCAGAUAUUGGUAAAAAAUUGGCUUCAUCCAGACUAGAUAUUUCCAUACUUGUAAUGUCAUGACUAUCAAUUCAAUUCAAUUCAAUUCAACUUUAAUGUCAUCGCACAAAUACAAGUAUGAGUACAACGAAAUGCAGUUUUGCAUCAGUCCGUAGUAGUUGUGCAUAAAGAAAUUUAAAAAAUAGAAAGAGAGAAGAUACAGAAUAAUCAAAAAAUACAGAAUAAUUAAACAAUGGGGACGGAGGGACCAGAGAAAUCUAUCGGCGGGACUCCGAGUUCAGCAGUGUAAUUGUAUUAUUGUAGAAGCUGUUCCUAUCGCAGGAUUUCUCCUCAUUCAUGGUAUGCAAUAGAAUCUUAACCUUUUCUCCUGUAAUGUCCAGCCUUCUCAUCAAGCUUUCUGUACAAAUAGCAGCCGAACAUCCAUGAUCCAAAAAUGCAUACGUUUGCAACACUGUAUUCCCCUUGCCAGAUACAGGUUUCUACCCCGGCCCCAAUAUAGGCAGAGGUGAGGUGACAGCAUCACUAAUAGCUGACUUCUCCUUUUGUUCUAUUUGCUCCGGCUUCUUCUGCUCAGUGUGAAGUGCUUCAGGAUGAUCUUGCUUGCACUUAUCACAAGUUAUAGGACAACUCUUGCAGUCUUUAACCAUGUGUCCAUUUUUCAAACAUCCAAAAUAGAUUCCCUUCUCCUUUAAGAAAUCCAUCUUUUCUUUAUAUCCCUUCUUCUUCAAUUACCGACACCACCUGUGCUGUGACCAACCUCUUCAGAUAAAAUUUAAAGGUAACUGGUUAUAGUUAUAACAUACUGAGUUAAAAUAAAUGGCUACUACACUGAUUAUUAUCUGAAUGGUGUCAAGUGUAACGAGAUCUGGGUGGCCUUGUACAUCAGUUACUGAAAGUAAGCAUGCAGGUACAGCAGGCAGUGAAGAAAGUGAAUGGCAUGUUGGCCUUCAUAACAAGAGGAGUUGAGUAUAGGAGCAAAGAGGUCCUUCUGGUGUCAAGGGAUAUGGAGAGAAGGCAGGCACGGGUUAUUGAUAGGAGACGAUCAGCCAUGAUCACAAUGAAUGGAGGUGCUGGGUCGAAGGGCUGAAUGGCCUCCACCUGCAGCUAUUUUCUCUGUUUCUAUGUUUCUGCAGUUGUACAGGGCCCUAGUGAGACCACACCUGGAGUAUUGUGUGCAGUUUUGGUCAAAGAUGGUUUUGGUCUCCAAAUUUGAGGAAGGACAUUCUUGCUAUUGAGGGAGUGCAGCGUAGGUUCACAAGGUUAAUUCCCAAGAUAGUGGGACUCUCAUAUCUUGAAAGAAUGAAGCGACUGGGCCUGUAUACACUGGAAUUUCGAAGGAUGAAAGGGGAUCUCAUUGAAACAGAUAAGAUUGUUAAGGGAUUGGGCACGCUAGAGGAAGGAAACAUGUUCCCGAUGUUGGGGGAGUGCAGAACUAGGGGCCACAUUUUAAGAAUAAGGGUCAGGGCAUUUAGAACGGAGAUGAGGAGAAACUUUUUCACCCAGAGAGUACUGAAUCUGUGGAAUUCUCUGCCCCAGAAGGCAGAGAAGGCAGAUUCUCUGGAUGCUUUCAAGAGAGAGUUAGAUAGAGUUGUAAAGCUAACGGAGUCAAGGGAUAUGGGGAGAAGGCAGGAACGGGGUACUGAUUGUGGAUGAUCGGCCAUGAUCACAGUGAAUGGCGGUGUUGGCUCGAAGAGCCGAAUGGCCUACUCCUGCACAUAUUGUCUAUUGUUUAGUGUCUCUUGUUUAUUGUCUUUGGAGUGUGGGAAGAAACCGCAGCUUCCGGAGAAAACCCACACGGUCACAGUGAGAAUGUACAAACUCCAUACAGGCAGCACCCGUAGUCAGGAUUGAACCUGGAUCUCUGGCGCUGUAAGGCAGCAACUCUACCGCUGCACCACUGUGCCGCACGUAACACCCAACAGGCAUAGGUGAUCAUAUUUCUAGGGAACAUAUUUAAAAAUAAUAUCUCUGCACCUUUAAAAAAAUUGAACAUACCAACUUAAUGCCAUGAGUUUAAUGGGAAUAGUUGCUCCCUUACAGUGCCAGAGACUCGGGUUUGAACCUGCCUAUGGGUGCUGUCUGUAUGGAGUUUGUACGUUCUCCCUGUGAUAGCGUGGGUUUUCUCUGGGUGCUCUGGUUUCCUCCCACACACCAAAGACAUACAGGCUUGUAGGUUAAUUGGCUUCCGUAAAAAGAUUGUCAAUUGUUCCUAGUGUGUAGGAUAGAGCUAGUGUGUGGAGAGAUAACUGGUCAGCGCAGAUUUGUUGGGACAAAGGGCCUGUUUCCACACUGCAUCACUAAAGUCUGCAGUCUAAAGUGUAAUGUCUAAAGGUGAAGCAAGCAACAUGGUCAAUAAAUUCCAUACUUUUAUAUUGAACAUAUAUUUAGUUAUAUUUCAAUCUCCAGGAAAAUUUUAGUUUGUUUGUUUCCUUUAACUAGCAAUAGGCAAAGGGCAAUAUUUUUAUUUAUUUCUUAUAUGGUAACGUGUCUUUUUGAAGAAAUUAAAAGUUGUGUAGUCCCAUUGCUGGAUGUAUGACUCCUUUUUGCCAGUAGGUGGUGAUAAUGGACCACAUGUGUGUGUGUGUGUAGCCUCCACCAUUUCUGUCACUUGAAAGUAGAUAAAAGAUUUGGAAGGAGUUUAAGCCAUUUCUCCAGUUUGCAGAGCAACGAUUAUUUUUAACUGUUCUCUGUCAAAUCAAAGCAUUUCAUGAGAUUUGCCCGAAACGAGGAACUGGUGAUGUCGGUAUACAAAAGAAGAAGGGUCCCCCAUAAGUUCAUGUUCAUCAGUUAAAGGAACAGAAUUAGGCCAAAUGGCCCAUCAAGCCUACUUUAGUUUAGAGAUACAGCACAGAAACAGGCCCUUCGGUCCACCGGGUCUGCACCCACCCACCAGCGAUCCCCCCACAUUAACACUAUCCUACAACCACUAGGGACAAUUUUUACAUUUAUGAAGUCAAUUAACCUACAAAUCUGUACGUCUUUGGAAUGUGGGAGGAAACCAAAGAUCUCGGAGAAAACCCACGCAGGUCACGGGGAGAACGUACAAACUCCGUACAGACAGCACCCGUAAUCGGGAUCGAACUCGGGUCUCCGGCGCUGGAUUCGCUGUAAGGCAGCAACUCUACCGCUGCACCACCGUGACUGCCCAUUCAAUCUGUCAUUUACUCUGUCAUUCAAUCAUGGCUGAUUCAUUUUCCCCUCUCAUCCCCAUUCCCCUGCCUUCUCCCCAUAACCUCUGACGCAUGUACUAACCAAGAAUAUGUCAAAGUCUGCCUUAAAAAUAUCCACACUCAGCCUCCACAGCCAUCUGUGGCAAUGAAUUCCACAGAUUCACCACCCCCCUGCCCUAAAACAAUGCCAAUCCGUGUUCCCCUGGGAUGCUGCCUGGCCCAUUGAGCUACUCCAGCACUCUGUGUCUUCUCCUGAGACUUGCUAUUGGCUUUAUAUGCUGUUAGCUCCCUUCCUGUAUCCAACUAUGUUCAUAGUUGAAUGAAGACUUAAGGAACUGCAGGUGAUGGAAUCUUGUGCAGAAAACAAAGUUCUGGAGUAACUCAGCUCAUUGUGGCCCAGAGCUGCUGCCUGACCUGCUGAGCUAUUUCAACAAUUCAAUGUUCACCAUCGGCAUGGGCAAGUCAGGCCGAAGGGCCUGUUUCCGCGUGGUAUGAUUCUGUGACUCAGAUUUGAACUUUCAUUGAGGGCCAAUAUUUCUCCUCCAAUCUAGUCUGAGAGGGAUAAAUAAACUUUAAAGCAAAAUAAAGAAACAGUCAGCAUCAGGUGUUUAUGAAGCUAUUCUAAACAGAAACAUGGCCCAAGAAACUUUCACAUGGACCAAAAAAUUAACAUCACAUCAAUAACAUACCCCAGUGAACGUUAAAGUCCAAUGUAAGCCAAAAUUCAUAAGCACAUAUUAUUGAACAAACAUGAAGUUUUAAGUAACUCAGUGGGACAGGCAGCAUCUCUGAAGAGAUGCAAUGGGUGACGUUUCAGGUUGAGAUCCUUCUUCAGAACUGGAGAAGGCUCGUGACCCAACAGGUCUGAAGAAGGGUCUCGACCCAAAACGUUACCCAUUCCUUCUCUCCAGAGAUACUGCCUGUCCCGCUGAGUUACUCCAGCAUUUUGUGUCUACCUUUGGUUUAAAACCAGCAUCCGCAAUUGCUUCCUACACAUGAAGCUUUAAGAGUCAUUUUCCUACUGAGCCCAUCUCGCCACUGCUUCCCAAAAUUCACCAGUUAAUGAACUGCCACAACUCCAUCUUCUAAAAUUGUAUGUGGAAGUAGUUUAAAAGCUUGCAGUUGUCAUUGCACUCAAGGAUCGAUAGUUUAGAUAAGGUG